This 650-nucleotide ribosomal RNA is filed under the name uncultured bacterium. Its description in RNAcentral is "bacterial SSU rRNA". It matches the Rfam family "Bacterial small subunit ribosomal RNA", at positions 85 to 716 of the family's 1533-position model. The record is from RNAcentral.
GCAAGGGUGCAUGGCAGACGGGUGAGUAACGCGUGGAGAACCUACCUCUUUGUGGGGAAUAACGCUCCGAAAGGAGUGGUAAUACCGCAUGAGACCCAAGGCUGGGAUGCCUUGGGUGAAACCUGGGGACCGCAAGGCCUGGGGCAAGGAGAGGGUUCCGCGUCUGAUUAGCUAGUUGGUGGGGUAAUGGCCUACCAAGGCGACGAUCAGUAGCCGGCCUGAGAGGGUGAUCGGCCACACUGGAACUGAGACACGGUCCAGACUCCUACGGGAGGCAGCAGUGGGGAAUUUUGCGCAAUGGGCGAAAGCCUGACGCAGCAACGCCGCGUGGGUGAUGAAGGUCUUCGGAUCGUAAAACCCUGUCGUCAGGGACGAAGGUUAUCGGUUGAACAGACCGGUGACUUGACGGUACCUGGAGAGGAAGCCCCGGCUAACUCUGUGCCAGCAGCCGCGGUAAUACAGAGGGGGCAAGCGUUAUUCGGAAUUAUUGGGCGUAAAGGGCGCGUAGGCGGUUUUUUAAGUGAGAUGUGCAAUCCCCGAGCUUAACUUGGGAACUGCAUCUCAGACUGGAAGGCUGGAGUACUGGAGAGGGUGGUAGAAUUCCACGUGUAGCGGUGAAAUGCGUAGAGAUGUGGAGGAAUACCAGUGGC